This 163-nucleotide microRNA precursor is filed under the name Oryza longistaminata (longstamen rice). Its description in RNAcentral is "pre miRNA mir-598". The record is from RNAcentral. Lineage: Eukaryota; Viridiplantae; Streptophyta; Magnoliopsida; Poales; Poaceae.
UUUGGUUGAAAUUGAAGAUGAUGUGACUGAAAAGUUGUGUGUGUAUGACAGGUUGAUGUGAUGGAAAAAUGACGGAAGUUUUGGAUCCAAACUUCAGUCCUUUUUCCAUCACAUCAACAUGUCGUACACACACAACUUUUCAGUCACAUCAUCUUCAAUUUCA